AACGAACGCUGGCGGCAUACCUAACACAUGCCAGUCGAACGAGACCUUCGGGUCUAGUGGCGCACGGGUGCGUAACGCGUGGGAACCUGCCCUUAGGUUCGGAAUAACUCCCCGAAAGGGGUGCUAAUACCGGAUAAUGUCUUCGGACCAAAGAUUUAUCGCCUUUGGAUGGGCCCGCGUUGGAUUAGCUAGUUGGUAGGGUAAAAGCCUACCAAGGCGACGAUCCAUAGCUGGUCUGAGAGGAUGAUCAGCCACACUGGGACUGAGACACGGCCCAGACUCCUACGGGAGGCAGCAGUGGGGAAUAUUGGACAAUGGGCGAAAGCCUGAUCCAGCAAUGCCGCGUGAGUGAUGAAGGCCUUAGGGUUGUAAAGCUCUUUUACCCGGGAUGAUAAUGACAGUACCGGGAGAAUAAGCGCCGGCUAACUCCGUG
RNAcentral lists this ribosomal RNA (433 nucleotides) under uncultured bacterium. Its description in RNAcentral is "partial 16S ribosomal RNA". It matches the Rfam family "Bacterial small subunit ribosomal RNA", at positions 29 to 507 of the family's 1533-position model. The record is from RNAcentral.